Molecule: long non-coding RNA, 1146 nt
Filed under: Mus caroli (Ryukyu mouse)
Lineage: Eukaryota; Metazoa; Chordata; Mammalia; Rodentia; Muridae
Description: predicted gene 27151 (MGP_CAROLIEiJ_G0003092.1)
Source: RNAcentral
CCAUUUAAGGGAAAGUGGGUCGAAGGGCUUCCCCAGGGAAAGAAAAUGAGCUCUGGAGCCAAAUGCAGAAGAGGAAGCGAUUGAUUUCAUGCCCACUAUUAUUCUCAUCCUCCCAAAUAAGAGAAUCCAUUGUUUGGCGGGCUAAUGGUUAAGAAAGGUGGGGAUGCGCACAGGUAGCCCCAUCCCUGAGACCGUAUCUAAUUCCCUAGUGUGGCUCAGGCUAUCCUCCAGGCUGCGUGGGGGUGGGGGUGGGGUAGGGGUGUUGGGAACUCUCUCUAGCCAUGGGUAAUACAGCCAGAACUGCAUGCAUUCUCACGCCCCAGAACUGGCGUCCCAGCCCAAGUGCGAAGUUGGGCAUUGCGACCUGAAAAGCAGAGUAAGAGCCAUUCAAAGCAGCAAGUUACAGUACCUUGAGAAGUCUGACAGAUGGGAGAAAGGCUGCGUGGCAUAGCUUCCGGAUGGUCCAAUUUAGGGGUCGAGAAGCAUCAGUCUGAUUCAUGACCCCUUCCAAAUUCCACCGGGAAGACAAGAAACUGCAAAUCUGGGCAGUGCCUAGAAAAUAAACGGUCCCCCACGGCCCUGGCAUCCCAUGGUCAUCUCCACACCUGCAAAUUCCAUUAGGGCAGAGGCUUCCUGGAACUUGGGAGUCUAGUCAAGUGGCGUUUCCUGAGCCCCUGAACCUUCUUAAGAAAGCCACCUCCCCUCUCCCUGCAGCCGUGCUCAUGCAUACCAAAUGUGGCCGAAUGGAGGCACGCUGCCUGCUGCUUCGGGGAGGGGAUGCUUGAUUUCGAAGGAGAGGGACAGCCUGCACAAAACAGCCUGUGGUCGGAGUCAGAGGAGCCUGCUCCAGAAUGCGCGCUCCCUCUCCUGCUCUCCUCCUGCAAACACAGUGGGGAGAAGGACAUUUUGAAGUGUUGGCAGCUGGAAUGUCAGGCACGGUGUUGGGCACUUCUCAUCAUGUAGGAGAAGCCACUACAGAGAACCAGUGGGUAAAUGCACACACCUGACAUUCCUGACAGCAUCCUCCACCCCUGCAACUGAAAGGCAACCACACAUCUAGAAAUAAGAUAUGAAACUAAUAUAUAAAAAAUGUGUUGCAUUGAAAAUUUAAAAGAUAUGCAAACAUCUUGUAUCUCACUAAAAAUA